RNAcentral lists this ribosomal RNA (305 nucleotides) under uncultured bacterium. RNAcentral's name for it is "bacterial SSU rRNA". It matches the Rfam family "Bacterial small subunit ribosomal RNA", at positions 333 to 655 of the family's 1533-position model. The record is from RNAcentral.
GAGCACCUACGGGACGCAGCAGUCGGGAAUAUUGCGCAAUGGAGGAAACUCUGACGCAGUGACGCCGCGUAUAGGAAGAAGGUUUUCGGAUUGUAAACUAUUGUCGUGAGGGAAGAAAUUGACAGUACCUCAGGAGGAAGCUCCGGCUAACUAUGUGCCAGCAGCCGCGGUAAUACAUAGGGAGCAAGCGUUAUCCGGAUUUAUUGGGUGUAAAGGGAGCGUAGACGGCAGGGCAAGUCUGGAGUGAAAGCCCGGGGGCCAACCCCGGGACUGCUUUGGAAACUGCCAUGCUGGAGUGCUGGAGG